GACGAACGCUGGCGGCGCGCCUAACACAUGCAAGUCGAACGAGCGAGAGGAGGUUUUCUUUCUCAAGCGAGUGGCGAACGGGUGAGUAACGCGUGAGGAACCCGCCUCAAAGAGGGGGACAACAGUUGGAAACGACUGCUAAUACCGCAUAAGCUCACGACCCGGCAUCGGGUAGAGGGAAAAGGAGCAAUCCGCUUUGAGAUGGCCUCGCGUCCGAUUCGCUGGUUGGUGAGGUAAUGGCCCACCAAGGCGACGAUCGGUAGCCGGACUGAGAGGUUGAACGGCCACAUUGGGACUGAGACACAGCCCAGACUCCUACGGGAGGCAGCAGUGGGGAAUAUAGCACAGUGGGGGGAACGCUGAUGCAGCGACGCCGCGUGGAGGAAGAAGGUCUUCGGAAUGUAAUCUCCUGUUGUUGAGGAAGAUAAUGACGGUACUCAACAAGGAAGUGACGGCUAACUACGUG
This 466-nucleotide ribosomal RNA is filed under the name uncultured bacterium. RNAcentral describes it as "partial 16S ribosomal RNA". It matches the Rfam family "Bacterial small subunit ribosomal RNA", at positions 28 to 507 of the family's 1533-position model. The record is from RNAcentral.